RNAcentral lists this microRNA precursor (105 nucleotides) under Marmota monax (woodchuck). Lineage: Eukaryota; Metazoa; Chordata; Mammalia; Rodentia; Sciuridae. The record is from RNAcentral.
AUAUGGAUCACCUGGGGAUCUCAUUAAAUGGCAGACUCUGACUCAGUAGGUCUACAGUUGGGGCCUUGAUUCUGAAUUUCUAAUGUGCUCUUAGAUAAUGUUGAU